RNAcentral lists this ribosomal RNA (482 nucleotides) under uncultured bacterium. RNAcentral describes it as "partial 16S ribosomal RNA". It matches the Rfam family "Bacterial small subunit ribosomal RNA", at positions 29 to 523 of the family's 1533-position model. The record is from RNAcentral.
AGUGAACGUUGGCGGCGUGGAUUAGGCAUGCAAGUCGAGCGAGAACCGUAGCAAUACGGGGACAGCGGCGAAAGGGACAGUAAUGUGUAGGUACCUACCUCCGGGUUCGGGAUAGCUACGGGAAACUGCAGGUAAUACCGAAUAACGUCUCCGGACCAAAGGUGUGAUUCCACCUGGAGAGGGGCCUGCAUCCUAUUAGCUAGUUGGGGAGGUAACGGCUCACCAAGGCGACGAUGGGUAGCGGAUGUGAGAGCACGACCCGCGUCAUUGGGACUGAGACACUGCCCAGACACCUACGGGUGGCUGCAGUCGAGGAUCUUCGGCAAUGGGCGCAAGCCUGACCGAGCGACGCCGCGUGCGGGAUGAAGGCCUUCGGGUUGUAAACCGCUGUCGUAGAGGAGGAAAUGCAGGGGGGUUCUCCCCUCUGUUUGACCUAUUCUAGGAGGAAGGACGGGCUAAGUUCGUGCCAGCCGCCGCAGUAA